RNAcentral lists this long non-coding RNA (9890 nucleotides) under Homo sapiens (human). RNAcentral's name for it is "HSALNT0362837". The record is from RNAcentral. Lineage: Eukaryota; Metazoa; Chordata; Mammalia; Primates; Hominidae.
CUGGCGGCAGCUGCAGGGCGAAUAGCCCGCCAAGUUGCUUAGGUGUGUGGCAGUUGCUGCCUUUCUGCAGCGGCGGGGUGGGCGACGGUGGCGGGAUGAGCAUCCAGGCGGGAUCCUUUGGCGGCAGCAGCAGAGAGAGCUCCACCCGGAUAAUGCAGAGGCCCAGGCUCCAGCGGACUUCAAGUCCCAGAGCAGGCUGCACCCGCGUCUGCGUGAAAUCUAAAGGGACUUGGCCUGAUCACAAAUGAGCUAACUUCGCGGCGGGGCUGGCGAACACAGACAAUGCCAGCCUGGAGGAGGCAGUGGCCAGCACUGCUUAGGCCUCGUUCCCAGGACGCGCAUUACUGAGUGCUGUACUUUACCCUUUGGAUGAAGGCUCCAGAGUACGACCUCCCCAAACUGAUAUCAAAGAAGUGCUUUGCAUGGGGCUUGAGAAAACAUCUUACUGUUUAAGAAAAGAACGUCUUACUGUCUGAGAAGCUGAAUAGAAUGAGAUGCCAUCAGUAUUGGGUGUUAUUUUUCAGAAGUUGCUCAAAGAAGGAGAGAAGAUGGUUAAGUGGGGAUGGAGACAAUUAUUUUGUAACUCAUAGAAGGACAGAUGUUUAUGUAACAGUUGAUAGUUUUGGUGGAAUAAUCAUGAGCAUGUUUCUGAAAUUAAUAUAAAAUAUACAGAGACCCCUAAAAUCACUGCUUAAAUUACACGGGUCUUGAGGUGUUCGGAAAGAGCAAACUUUGGAAGUAUAAUUGUAAAAAUAAUGUCAUACAGACAAAGAGAAGAGAAAACUUAACGACAGCUUUCUUAAAUCGCUGUUAUUCUUGAAUCAUCUGAAAGCAGUACACGUGCCUGGCACCAAUAUACAUCAGAGAGUAAAUCAUUGCACAAGGAGACUUGAUCUUCUUUUUUUGUAGAAUCUGGAGGAAACAAAUCUAUGAAAAGCAAGAGAUGGUAGAGAAUGGUGUUGUCGAAAUUGCCUGACAUCAUUGGAGAUAGAGAAUUUGCCCUGGUAAAAGGUGCUCCUCAGGGAGGAGCAUCUGCACAUUCCAUUAGCAUAAAGCCCCUGGUGGGCCAUAUGAAGAAGUCUGGAUUUUGCUAUAAAUGUGAAAUUUAUUUUAAAUGGAGGAUUUGAAGCAGGGGGGUAAUAUACCCUGACAUAUUUUAAAAAAUCACCCUAGCAGCGUUUGUGCGGGGUAAAGACUCUGGGAGGACAAGAAGAGAUGUGGAAGGGAGAAGGCAGCUAAGAGUCUGUCCCAGGAUUGCAAAGAUGUUGGAGCCCGACCUCAGAUGAUAUGCUUCCUUAUGAACUGACGGUGACUCCCAAAUUCAUAUGUUGAAGACCCAACUCCCAACGGACUUGGAGGUCCACGAAGGGCUAGAUAAGGGAAGCUGGUUUGCGUUCAGGGAAGCGGCAGAGGAGGGAAGCUGGCAGCUGGGCUGUGCUAAGAUGACCUUAGCCCCAGACCCUGGAUGAACAUCCUCUUCUGGAUACAGGACCUGCCCGAGGCAUCAUUUUGAAAUAGUCAAAUUUUAUUUGCUUUGUGUUCUUUCAUCACAUAUAUUAGCUUUUGCCUCUUGAGUGCCAAAAUAUAGCUGUUUUUAUAUUACCCCAAGUUCCUGAGUUUAUUUUUUAGGUAAGAAUUUUCCACCCUUUGAAAUCCCAAAUGACAUGUUUACUCUCUUUCUCAGACCAUGCUUUCAUUUCAGUCAAUGUAACAAAUCAGCCAGGUCUCAGGAGUUUAGAAAUCUGAUUGGAUUGAUUUAUACUAAGCGGUAACAGAUCUACCACAGCCUUCUAAGAUGAAUUGGAGUUUCUUAAAAACUCCAUGACCUACACUAUUCUUUAGGUGCUGGAAUUGCACACUUUCAAAUCACAUCAAGUAUAAACAUUCAAUUUUGUGGGGGGUUAUUUUCUAUGGAGAGAUGAGGUGUUGAUUAAUACUGGUAGGCUUUACUCCAAAAGACAAUUCUAUUAAGAUUUCUUUUGUUUUUUAAAAUCUAGACUAUCAGAAGGAGUAAAAAUGCCAAUUUUUUUUUUCUUUUUGCUGUGGCUACAAUGUUCACAGUAAUCCAAGCUCCAAUGACAGGGGGGGAGAGCGGAGCCAAAUGAGGCCCCGUUUUUUUCAUGAAGUGUAUUUUUCUUUUUUUUUUUGAGAUCAGGGGUUCAGAAAUUGUAAUAUAAGUGUUCAAUUAUAAAGUUAUUAUGAUAGUGCAUGGCACGUGUCCUUUCCAUCAUCUGGAUUUUUCCACUUUUACUGUAUGGCUCACUCUUACUCACUCUCCAGUCUUCACCUUAGUGGUCACUUCCCCCUGAAAUGCCCUUGACCCCUUAAGAUAGCAGUGCUGCAAACAUCGUAAGCUGAAUUUAUAGCCAGACUCACAGGCAACACCUUAUCUUGUGCCAUGCUUCACUAAUGAUGAGGAAGUGAGAAAGAGUAGGGGAAAGGAGGCACAACAAAUGUCAUUUCCAUAACAGAGGCCUCAAGGCCAGCCCACUUGAUUCUCUGGAGAUCCUUUUCUGCAUAACAAUGAUGAAAGGUAGCCUAAGAAAGCCAUUUGUCUGAGGCUUCACCUUUGAUACCUUGCUAGACACUAAACUAAGAGACUGAUUCCAUUCUUUAGUAUAGCCAUUGCCUCAUAAAUCCAUACAUAACAGGGGUAUUUCUUUCCAAUAAAGUAUCCAUAUAGAUUAGGUAUAUUCUAUUGACAAUUUUAUUAAAGUUCUUCAUUUAUCUUCCAGAUAGUAGAUUCUAUCAACCAAGUUUCAUAAAGAGUUCUGAUUCCCAGAGGUAAGAACUGAGCCUGGCUUUCUAGUUACAUGUUUAUUGGUAACUCUGUCCUUCCCUACAACACUUAAGCAUAUUUAAAGACUAUACCCUCCCCUGCCUCCAGCUUGGAUUGUAAGCUCCUCAAGAGCAUGGCUGUGUCCUUUAACAUCAAGUCUCCAUGUGAGAAAGAGUUCCUGCCAUAUCACAAAUGCCCAAUCAACAUUUGUAAGUGAAGAAAGCUAUUCUGUGGUGUCUGCUUUAAUAUUAAGAGAUGGCUUGCCCAAGAUUGCUAAGCAGCUUCAUUGUCUACAAUGGAACAAGAUUCUGUGGGUAGCAGUUCCAUUGGUGCCACUGACAGGAGGCCUCAAGGAAACCUAGUGCACUAGUCUUUCUGAUGACGCCUUGAUUUUCUUCCAGCACAGAGCCGUAAAAUGGAAUAUUCUUCUGACACAGAUACUUCAUGCAUCGCAUGAUCAGCCGUGUCCCAUUGCCUCUCCUUCGGUAUUUUUCCACACUGUAGCCCAUUCCUAUUUCACAAGAAGGGUCCAUGGUUACCCAUGAGACCGGGACCCCCUCUGGGCCCAGCAUACAGGCUGCUGGCAGGGCUCCUAGGCAGCGCUUGAUGUAACGCAGGCUCCUCUUAUUCAUCCCUAGCUUCCAGUUGUCAUUUACCAGCCCAGAAUAAGACACAUUCAGCUGGGCAUACUUAAAGUUCGGAGUCUCGCUGUAGAAAACAAAAAGAAAGACAACAACUUUCAUCCCCACUCCUGUAAUUUCUAGGUGCCCUUCCAUUCUAGAGAUCCCAGGCCCUCUUCUUGUUAAAAGACCCACCAUUGCAAAGUGGCGUAUUUUGACCACUGACAACCUUUAUUCAUCCCAAGGAAUGAAUUCAUCCUCUCUUCAUUCCAAAACUGAUUUAUGUGAAUUACAAAAAUGUACAAGGAAUAGCAAUUAUAAAUGAUCAGCACAUGUUUUUUGUACCUCUCCAAUUCGUCAUCUGGGUGGCCUGUCUCAGCCCAGCUUCCAAGCUUGCUUUUAUUGGUGGCAUAGAGCUUCAGGAUAUCUUCCGUAACAAAGAGGAGUGCUCUCGAAUGCUCUACCUUCACUGAAUUUGAAAAUGCAGCUGCUCUUAUCCCCUCACCUAAACUUUCUUGAAAACCUGAGAGAAAGCCAAGAAAGCAAUAUUGUCAGACAUGCAGUUCUCUACUUACACUGCUCACACCUGAUUAAUGCCUCAGUGCUUAGUAGUUCUCAAAGUUGAGUUUACACCACAAUCAGCUAUAGUCCUUGGCACACCACAGAUUGCUCCACCUCUCCCAGCUCUGAGAAUUUCAAGGAAUUUACAUUUCUAAUGAGCUCUCAGGUGAUGCUAAUGCUGUUAGUUGAAGACACAAUUUGAGAAGCACAGCUGCUUGCCCAUUUCUUCAGACUUGUUACCUUGGAUUUGGAGUUUCUGUUUCCAGUUUAUGAUCUCAGAAUUUUUCAAAACUUCUUGUGAUUUUUGAGGGUCUUUGGAGAAUACACGAUAUACAUUAGUGUAUGAAUCCAUGUCAUCAGUCAUCUCCUGUGUAGGAUGGUGAAAGGUCAGAUCAUUCCCUUGAACUUUUUCUUCUCCUCUCACUGAUUGCAAUUAUUAGAAAAAUGAAAAUUCAAAAGAAAGUUUUAGCACUAGCCCACGAUGGCUGCAGUUGGGCACGUGGAUAAUAUAAGUGAGACCUAUAAGCUACUGCUGACCUCUUACCUGUGUAACUGGAGUUUGUUAAAUAUUGAACACUGACAGUUACUGGUUAUAAACCUGCUUCUCAGAUACAUAACAAAGACAGGAUGAAAUCAGUCACCCUCCACCAGGCCUUAAGAUGCCUCACUUUUCUCCCUACCCACUCAACUGCACACUUACCUUAUUUUAUAUAUAGCAUCACAGAGCGCCCAGCAGAAGCAAAGGAAUGCAACAAUUGCUUCUCUCCCUGCUUCUCUCACCUCCUGGACCACACAUAUCCCCCUGUUAUAUAUACUGUGCCCCACAUAACCCCCUGUGGGACAUAUUCUGGGUUGUACUGAGUCCGUGUUGAUAGGGUUAAGUUCUUAAGCUCGGCACAAGAUGAAUUUAACCAUGAUUUCUCUAAGUUAUAGUGCCUACUGUUUCACCAGACACCUACAAUCUAUAUUGUUCUAGAAUCUGCAGUGUCCAGGGUUUGAGCAAGAUACUUUAGUGAAUAUAAACAUUAAGGAGACAUUGCCUUUUCCCAAGGCUACAGGAUAUCAGCCUCUUUGAAGAGUGACAUGGCCUUUACAGCCAGAAGCCCACAAAAUAGAAUGAAGUAACUGAAUUUUCCGUAGCACUCUGCGCAAUUUAUGUGGUGUUAGACUCAUGGGUUUUAAAGAAAGAUACUUGUGAUCUCAUUCUCACAAGCCACAAACUUCAUGGGACGAUGAGUAUCUGUUUAUCAGGGGAAAUAUAAACAAUAAGUGUGAGUUUUAGCAGUGCAUGUAUUAAUAUUAUGUUGAAAAUUGUAUUGUUAAGGAGUAAAAGAGAAAAUAGUGUAACUAAUUUUAAAGAAACCUUCAAGAAUUUGAGGAUGCUUUUAUAAAUGCAAGUUCCUGAAUAUGGCCAAAACACAACACCUCAGUGAAUUUAAAAGAGUAGAUGUUUUAAAAGACCGGAUUUUAAAAGAAUGACUGAACAUAGCCAAGUAAAUAUUCAAAGAAUUAUAAAAAGAAUAUCAAAGUAGACUAGAAAAUAACAAAUGGAACAAUUUGUAAAAAUGAAAGCCAUAAAUAAUGAAAUGUAGAACAAGACACAGUGCAAAUGAUAUAUAAAGCCAAAAGUUCAUUUUUAAAUGGCAAAAAGAAAGAGCAGAAGAGAGAGAGAGAUAAACUUCUGGUAAGGCAUUUAAAGGAAAUAGAAGAGAAAGAGAAAAAAGAAAAAAAAAAGGCAUAGAGUAUGAGCCAUGAGAAUGGAAACAGAAAAGGAAAAAGACUUAUAAUAGAAGAUUAUAUACUACUCCAAGGCAACAUAUUCACUGAUAAAGAAAUGGAUGUUAUCCCUCAAGAAUAAACUAUCAAAAUUGACUUUCAAAAAAUAGAAAACUUCAAUGAACUAAUAGAAAUAUCGGAAAUGAAAUGAAAUAUCUACCAUUUGAAAAGUGGACAAGAAUUAUGGCUUCCAGCUCCAUCCGUGUUGCUACAAAGGACAAUAUUUUAUUCUUUUCUAUUGCUGUGUAGUAUUCCAUAGGAAUACAUGUACCAAGUUUUUUUAUCCAAUGCACCUUUGAUGGGGAUCUGUGAUGAUUCCAUGUCUUUGCUAUUGUGAACAGUGCAGCAAUGAACAUCCUAGUGCAUGUGUCAUUUUGGUAGAACGAUUCAUUUUCUUUUGGGUAUUUACCUAGUAAUGGCAUUGCUGGGUCGAAUGGCAACUCUCUUUUAAGUUCUCUAAGAAAUUUCCAGACUACUUUCCACAGUGUAAUAAUCCUAAGCAAAUUAAUGCUGUAACAGAAAAUCAAAUAUCACGUUUUCACUCAUAACUGGGAGCUAAGCAUUGAACAUACAUGGACAUAAAUGUGAGAACAAUAGACACUAUGGACUCUAGAGGGUGGAGGGAAAGGGGCUGGGUUAGAAAACUACCUAUCGGGUACUAUGCUCACUACCAGGGUGAUGGGAUCUGUCCAUACUCCAAGACUCAGCAUCAUGCAAUAUUUGCGUGUAACAAAUAUGCACAUGUACCCCCUUUAUCUAAAAGGAAAGUUGAAAUUACAAACUAAAAAGUAGCCAAAAUUAGAUUAUUUUACAUUUCAAUUCUACAUAAGGCAAAACCAAACACAUAAUUUUAAUAGUAGACUUUGGUAACAGAUGAAAAUAUCCUAAUGCCAAAUCUGGUAAAGAAAUAACAAAAAGAGAGUUACUGACCAUAUUGGCUUAUGAAUACAGAUGCAAAAAUUCUGAAUAAAAUAUUCAGUAGCAUAUGAAAAGAAUGUGAACAUGAACAGUUUGUUUUAGAAAGGCCAGAAUGAGUUUGAUCAGAAGAUCUUUUAGGGUAAUAAAUUAAAGGAGGAAAAAAUUACAUGAGUAUAUAAAUUGCCAUAAAAAGACAAAAAUGAAAUAACAUAAAAUCUACCGUUCAUUCUAAAUAUAAUUUCUAUGAAAAUGGGAAAACAGGAAAGUGCUCUAAGCCUGUAAAGACAGAAUUAAAUGUAAUUCCAAAGGUAAGUUUUUAUAGCUAUUUCAUUAAAAUCAGGAAUGAGACAAGGAUAGAACUUUUAUUAUGGCUACUUGGUAUUGUUUUCUUAGGUUGUACAUUAUACAAUAAGGCAAGAAAGUAAAAACCCAUACAAAUAUUGGCAAAGAAGCAGCAAAUUACUUUGUUUAUAGAUUACAGUAUUACACAUUUAGAAAAUAUAAGAGACUUCGACAGAAAACAAAAACAAAUAACACCCCAGGCAAACAAAGAAGAUUUUAAAGCAUAGUGUGACAUAUUUGGAAAUGAAGAAUAUAAAUAGAAAGCAAUAACAAAAUAAUAAUGCUCAGAAAUAGAAAAGGAAAAAUAAUUUAAUAAUCUUAAAAAAUAAUAUAAAAUACCUAAGGGUAAACUUAAUGGAAAAAUCACGUAGUUUACCUCAGGAAAACACUAAUAUUUUACCAGAUGGCAUAGAACAGAAACUGAAAAAAGUGAGAGAAAGACCAUAUUUCUUGAUAAAAAUAUUUAGUAUCACAAAAAUAUUAAUGCUUCCACAAUUGUCUAAAAAAGCUCCUCCAAUACAAAUCACAAUUGCAAUACUUAGUUGGGGAAAUUGGGGAACUGAAAAAUUAGUUUUUGUUCAUAUAGCUCUGAAGUUUAUAAGAAAUAGGAAAGCAAGAAAAAGAUUAGUGAAGGGUGAUUUGCUUUAUUAGAUAUUAAAAUUUGCCACAAAACAAUGAAAUAGCAUGAGAAAAGAUUAGAAACAAAUACAGAAAUAGCUACAAAAAUAUAUAAAAGUUAUAUGACAAAAUAGACAUUUAUGUUUCAGUAGCAGAAUGACUUACUUAAUAAAUAGCACUAACGUAAUUAGCCAGCCAUUCGGGGGAUAAAUAUAAAAGAAUGUUAAUUCAUGCUAUUCAAAAAUAUAUUCCAAAUAGAAUGAAGUUUGAAAUGUCAAAAGUAAAAAUUAACUCACUGUAAGACAAAAUGAAAAAAACAACUUGUACGAUCUUGGUUUAGGAAAAAUCUUCCUAAUUAUUAACAAAAAAACUCCCAAAGCCUCAGGAAUCAUAGUGAAAAAGAUAAUAUAUUUGAUUACAUGAAAAUUAAAAAUUGCUUCAUGUGAAAAUCUAUCAAAUUAGAAAAUAAUUCUAAAUUGGGCAACAAAUUUGUAGCAUACACCUUGUGUUAGUAUCCCUCAUAUCCAAAACACAUAGAGAAUUUUAAGAAUGACACAAAAUCCCAGUGUAAAAAUGGUCAAACAAUAUAAACAGUUCAGAAGUAAACCCAAAAUGACUGAUAAUCAUAUGAAAAUAUAUGUUGAAUAUCACUAGUCAGGGAAAUGCAAAUUAAAUCUACAAUAAGAUGCCACUUUUCACCCACCAGUUUGGCAUAAAGUAGAAGAAGGAUAACAUUCACUGCUGAUGAGAAUGUGGGAAACAAUUCUUCCACAGAUUGCUAAUGGAAAUAAUACUGUGGAAUCCUUUGGGAGGGUAGUCUGGCAGUGCCUACUUAGGAUAAGAUAAGCUCUGACUUGGACUUAUCCCUUUUGGAAACCAAUUGCAUUGAGAAAAGUUUCCAGGAUGUAAAGACAUGUAUACAAGGAUGUUUAUUGAAGCAUUGUUUGUAAUGGCAAAGAAGUAUGAACAAUUUGAACCCAACAGGAGGAGAAUGACUGACUAAAUAGCAUUGCAUUGACUCUAUGGAACGCCACAGUUAUUAAAACAAAUAUGUUAGUGCUGUAUUGAUUCACUCAAAGCAAUGUCCAUAUGUCAAAGGCAAAUUAAAAAGCGAUUACAGAAGAGAUCAUAACUGAAUAUCCGUUUGUGUGUUAAUAUGGCCAAGGACACCGAUUACCCCAAAGGGUAGGAAUGGAGGAGAGGAGGGCAAAGAGGUGAGAGGUUAUUAACUUCUUAAAAUCAUGUUGAAUUUUUCCACUUCUAUAAUCAGCAUAUAUUAUCUUUCUGAUUAGGAACCAACAAAGAAAAAUUAAUAUUUUUCUAGAGAAAUUCUCCUGCAUCUCACCUUAAAAAGGUCUUCUUCAAAAUUGCAUUGAUUUUCAAUACUGAAAGAAACAUGGUAUACUAUGGAAUCAGACUAAGUGAAUGUAUUUCCAAGUAAAUUGCAGCAUAUUUCAUUCUUUCCAUUUUUUUGGUCAUAUAUGUGUGGCAUGGAACUUUUAUAUUUUAAUAUUUUUGUUUGCUGACUCACUAUAUAAAAACUAGCCUUGUUCAAAGCAAUGCAUAUAUGAAGUUACAGCUUGAUGGUACAGUUACAUUGUUAAAAUACACAUAGUGACUACAAAGUUACUGAAGUAAAAAGAACUAUUUGGUUCAUACAGUUAUUUAGCGUAUGACACUUUGAAGAAAUUGGACCAUGGAUCAAGUAAACUAACCAUUAAUCAUCGAUCCGAAAUUGUCAGGAAACCAGGAGAUCAAAAGAACAUCCCUGGGGAAGGUAUUAGGCUCAGCUUAUUAUUAUGUGGGGGCUCAGUGUCUAUACCCACCUGAAGCUGGGCUGGCCAUGAGGCUUCAGUUCACUAAUCAGAUGUGCAUGAAACAGACACAAAAAGGGGAAGUCUUUAGGGCCAAAAAAUAGACCUAGGUUUGUAUUACUAUUUCAGCUUAAUCGUGUAUUCCUUGUGUGUCCUCGGCCAAUAAUGGCUAAUUAUGGUAAAUACUAUUUAGAAUUAUGUGCUAUAUACUAAGUGUUUGACAUGUGGUAUCUCAUUUAAACCUUGUGUAAUCCUCUGAAGAAUGUCCUCCUAUUUUUCCCAUUUUAACAGAUGAUAAAACUCACAGAAGGGCCUAUGGUUAUAUAGCUAGUAAAAGUGGCAGAGUCCGUUGAACUUGAAUUCAGAUUGGGGAAUGCUUUAACAGAUGGUAUCCAGCAGCUACCUGACUGAAUAUUUCUCAGUGUUGUUUCCUCAUCUCUAAAUUAAAGAUAUUAAAGCUCA